This 438-nucleotide ribosomal RNA is filed under the name uncultured bacterium. RNAcentral describes it as "bacterial SSU rRNA". It matches the Rfam family "Bacterial small subunit ribosomal RNA", at positions 355 to 807 of the family's 1533-position model. The record is from RNAcentral.
UGGGGAAUAUUGCACAAUGGGCGCAAGCCUGAUGCAGCAAUGCCGCGUGAGUGAAGACGGCCUUAGGGUUGUAAAACUCUUUCGCUAGGGAAGAUAAUGACGGUAGCCGGAGAAGAAGCCCCGGCUAACUCCGUGCCAGCAGCCGCGGUAAUACGGAGGGGGCUAGCGUUGUUCGGAAUUACUGGGCGUAAAGCGCGCGUAGGCGGAUUGUUAAGUCGGGGGGUGAAAUCCCGGGGCUCAACCCCGGAACUGCCUUUGAAACCAUCUGGCUCGAGGCUGGGAAGGGGGUAGCGGAAUUCCUGGUGUAGCGGUGAAAUGCGUAGAUAUCAGGAGGAACACCAGUGGCGAAGGCGGCUACCUGGACCAGUUCUGACGCUGAGGCGCGAAAGCGUGGGGAAGCAAACAGGAUUAGAUACCCUGGUAGUCCACGCCGUAACG